UGGGGAAUUUUGGACAAUGGGGGAAACCCUGAUCCAGCCAUUCCGCGUGAGUGAAGAAGGCCUUCGGGUUGUAAAGCUCUUUCAGCAGGAACGAAACGGCAGGCUUUAAUACAGCCUGCUAAUGACGGUACCUGCAGAAGAAGCACCGGCUAACUACGUGCCAGCAGCCGCGGUAAUACGUAGGGUGCGAGCGUUAAUCGGAAUUACUGGGCGUAAAGCGUGCGCAGGCGGCGGCAUAAGACAGAUGUGAAAUCCCCGGGCUCAACCUGGGAACUGCGUUUGUGACUGUGCUGCUAGAGUGUAGCAGAGGGGGGUGGAAUUCCACGUGUAGCAGUGAAAUGCGUAGAGAUGUGGAGGAACACCGAUGGCGAAGGCAGCCCCCUGGGUUAACACUGACGCUCAUGCACGAAAGCGUGGGGAGCAAACA
RNAcentral lists this ribosomal RNA (427 nucleotides) under uncultured bacterium. Its description in RNAcentral is "bacterial SSU rRNA". It matches the Rfam family "Bacterial small subunit ribosomal RNA", at positions 355 to 774 of the family's 1533-position model. The record is from RNAcentral.